AUUGAACGCUGGCGGCAUGCCUAACACAUGCAAGUCGAACGGUAACAGGCCCUUCGGGUGCUGACGAGUGGCGGAUGGGUGAGUAAUACUUAGGAAUCUACCCUGUAGUGGGGGACGAACCCGGGGAAACUCGGGCUAAUACCGCAUACGCUCUACGGAGGAAAGCGGGGACCGGCAAGGCCUCGCGCUAUUGGAUGAGCCUAAGCCCGAUUAGCUAGUUGGUGGGGUAAUAGCCUACCAAGGCAAUGAUCGGUAGCUGGUCUGAGAGGACGACCAGCCACACUGGGACUGAGACACGGCCCAGACUCCUACGGGAGGCAGCAGUGGGGAAUAUCGGACAAUGGGCGAAAGCCUGAUCCAGCGAUGCCGCGUGUGUGAAGAAGGCCUGC
This 389-nucleotide ribosomal RNA is filed under the name uncultured bacterium. RNAcentral's name for it is "bacterial SSU rRNA". It matches the Rfam family "Bacterial small subunit ribosomal RNA", at positions 30 to 419 of the family's 1533-position model. The record is from RNAcentral.